This is a long non-coding RNA of Neopelma chrysocephalum (saffron-crested tyrant-manakin), 436 nucleotides long. RefSeq lists it as uncharacterized. NCBI's taxonomy places the organism in Eukaryota, Metazoa, Chordata, Aves, Passeriformes, Pipridae. The transcript has 3 exons. The record is from RefSeq and is a predicted model, not a curated record.
UUUUUCCAUGCCAGGAAGGUGCUGCCAUUUGAGGCUGCUGGGUUCUCUACACAGCAGAUGUGAAAGACAUACACAAAAGCACUUCAGGCUUCUUGGACACAGUUUUCAUAAGGUUUCAAAAAUCCGCCCCUACUGACUGGUCUGAAAUUAUGAAGUGAACUGCAGACAAAGAAAUGGAUUUUUUUGUCAGUGAUUGCUCACAAUCUGGAUAUUACAGCAAUUUCAGAGUCACCUGGAGGAGUCUGAAACCAUUCUGUCCACCCUUGGCAAGGAAAGAUUGUGUCUCAGACCUCAAACUAGAAGCUCUUCCAAAGGAACCACUGGAUUGCUCCUGUAAUGACUAUUUUCUCAAUAAUGGGGAGAUUCUCGGUGUGGGAAGGAGAAGCCGAAGAGCGGAAGGGCUGAAGAGAAGAUACCUGUAGCAACGUGCUGCUUG